GAUUAACGCUGGCGGCGUGCAUAACACAUGCAAGUCGAACGAUGAAACUUAGUAGACUUCUUCGGAAAGACACUAAGCGGAUUAGUGGCGAACGGGUGAGUAACGCGUGAGUAACCUGCCUUACACAAGGGGAUAGCCUUUGGAAACGAAGAAUAAUACCCUAUAAAACUAUACAAGCACAUGCUAGAAUGGUCAAAGUGCUAGCGGUGUAAGAUGGACUUGCGUCUGAUUAGCUAGUUGGUGAGAUAAAAGCUCACCAAGGCAACGAUCAGUAGCCGGCUUGAGAGGGUGUACGGCCACAUUGGGACUGAGACACGGCCCAGACUCCUACGGGAGGCAGCAGUGGGGAAUUUUGCACAAUGGGGGAAACCCUGAUGCAGCGACGCCGCGUGAUUUAGAAGGCCUUCGGGUUGUAAAAAUCUUUUGUAUAGGAAGAAAAUGACAGUACUAUACGAAUAAGGUCCGGCUAAUUACGUG
RNAcentral lists this ribosomal RNA (477 nucleotides) under uncultured bacterium. RNAcentral describes it as "partial 16S ribosomal RNA". It matches the Rfam family "Bacterial small subunit ribosomal RNA", at positions 28 to 507 of the family's 1533-position model. The record is from RNAcentral.